Molecule: ribosomal RNA, 254 nt
Filed under: uncultured bacterium
Lineage: Bacteria
Description: partial 16S ribosomal RNA
Rfam family: Bacterial small subunit ribosomal RNA
Source: RNAcentral
UACGUAGGCAGCAAGCGUUGUUCGGAGUUACUGGGCGUAAAGGGUGUGUAGGCGGUUCCUUAAGUUUGCUGUGAAAUCUCCCGGCUUUAACCGGGAGGGUGCGGUGAAUACUGAGGGACUAGAGUACGGGAGAGGAAAGUGGAAUUCCUGGUGUAGCGGUGAAAUGCGUAGAUAUCAGGAGGAACACCGGUGGUGUAGACGGCUUUCUGGACCGUAACUGACGCUGAGACACGAAAGCGUGGGUAGCAAACAGG